RNAcentral lists this long non-coding RNA (1778 nucleotides) under Gouania willdenowi (blunt-snouted clingfish). Its description in RNAcentral is "lncRNA (ENSGWIG00000021520.1)". The record is from RNAcentral. Lineage: Eukaryota; Metazoa; Chordata; Actinopteri; Blenniiformes; Gobiesocidae.
CUCCAUUUGAGAAAUACUGCUACUUCCGGAAGCGCUGGCAACGUCAUUGCUAUGGCAACGUGUAAACUUGCCGUUGCCUGGAUACCAAGUCUACGGUUCCAGACUCACUGUCUUGGAGUAGUUUAUGAGUUAAAAUAAACUGAAAGUAAGAGACUUUAAGUGAAUGAGGACAAAGCCGUUGGAGACACUGUGUGACACAGUCAUUUAGCUCCGUGGAGUCCGACAUGUCAGUGGAAGGAGGAACCGAAGCACAGGUGGAGCCCACACCUCAGUCACCUAGCCCGGGUCCGGAGGCUGAAGAGCAGCCUGAGCAGUCAGCGUCACCCGGUGAGACCAGUCUAUAACCAUAACCUCCAUACUGAACUAAUGGCUUCUGCGUUCAUUAGUACAACUACAAACAGCUGAUUAUAUAGUCAAUCUGUGAUGUCUUACAAGGACAAUGUCAUAUUGUGGAAAAAUUAUUUAAAUCUUUUCAUGCUUAUUUUGCUGGUUUAUUUGAUGCACAAUGUAAGUUCUGAUAUUAGUUUUGACACUUCUCCUGCUUUCUAAUGAAUGUGAUGGUUUUGUUUGGGAAUAUUAAUGUUGUUGUUUUUCCAGAGGAGCUGUGCUCUGAGGAAAAAGAAAAAGAAAAAGAAACUAACGUGGGCUGUGCUCGAAAUGGCGCACUCUGUACUAUUAUCAAUAGUGUGUGUCUGCAGAGAACACUGUCUAUGUUAGUGCUGUAUGAGUGUAGCCCUGGGCACGUGCGGUUUCCAUCUCUGCAGACAUUACGCUUUUCUAUGUACACCUAAAAAAUGUCCCGAUAAAGUCUACUAUAUCACGUACAUAAUCUUUGCACACUGUCGAAACUAGUUAUUGACGUCAGAGUUAGUGCGAGUAGUACCUGAGGAUGAUAUUUACAACAUACAACACGACCGUAGUGUACUUCCGGGUAUUUCUUGCGCACCUAAUCGUUGGACGUUAUGACGUCAGACAGUGCUGAGUGCGCUAUUUCGAUCACAGCCAUAGACUCACCUGAUGAUGAGCCUCAAAACUCAGAAGACGUUGGAAGCUCAACAGCUACUGUUAAGGUAGUGCUGGUGCCAGUGGGUCAUGUGAUCACCGUAGCCUUUUCCAUCGGUCUCAGCGUUCAGAAGCUCAAGUGUCACCUGGCCUCAGAGCUCCGGGUCCCUGUGGAGGUGCUCCAGCUCUCCCUGAACGGUGCGCGUCUCAUCCUGAUCCUCCAUCAUGUCUAAGCUUUCCCACUUGUCUUUGGUUGACAGACGUCACUUUUAUACCCCAAAUAUUUACUUCUUCUCAUUGAGUGGAAAAUGGUGUCUUCCACGAUGCAGACAUGCAGGAUGCUUUUUACCUGCUGCCAAAUCCAAAUUCUGGAUCAGAUCCGUACGAAACUUAACAUUUUGAAAGAGGUCACAACCCGAUAUCAGUCCACCAAAUUUGAAUGAAAUCCACACUUAUUUAAAGUGUAUAGGAUUUUUUGAAAGUCGUAUAUGGGCUUUCCAAUGUUAAUUUCAGCAAUCUGGAUCAAAGAUCCGGAUCCCGUGGUCAGACGUUGCAUGUCAUAGCCUUACACCAUCCUGCAAAAAUCUUAAAUGAAUCGAUGAAGAUCUGACGGAGAUAUGAAUUUUAGAAUUUUUUGCCCCCUACUAAAGAUAGGGGAAUUCAGUGAAUUUUAUUUACAUAUAUAUAUAUAUAUAUAUAUAUAUAUAUAUAUAUUUUUUUUUUUUUCUUGAUCUUGAACGUACCUUCACCAAAAUUGAUUGGUCUCACCUGCGGUC